RNAcentral lists this ribosomal RNA (508 nucleotides) under uncultured bacterium. Its description in RNAcentral is "partial 16S ribosomal RNA". It matches the Rfam family "Bacterial small subunit ribosomal RNA", at positions 30 to 523 of the family's 1533-position model. The record is from RNAcentral.
AUUGAACGCUGGCGGCAUGCCUUACACAUGCAAGUCGAACGGCAGCGGGGGAGAAGCUUGCUUUUCCUGCCGGCGAGUGGCGAACGGGUGAGUAAUACAUCGGAACGUGCCCUGUAGUGGGGGAUAACUAGUCGAAAGAUUAGCUAAUACCGCAUACGACCUGAGGGUGAAAGUGGGGGACCGCAAGGCCUCACGCUAUAGGAGCGGCCGAUGUCUGAUUAGCUAGUUGGUGGGGUAAAGGCCUACCAAAGCGACGAUCAGUAGCUGGUCUGAGAGGACGAUCAGCCACACUGGGACUGAGACACGGCCCAGACUCCUACGGGAGGCAGCAGUGGGGAAUUUUGGACAAUGGGCGAAAGCCUGAUCCAGCAAUGCCGCGUGUGUGAAGAAGGCCUUCGGGUUGUAAAGCACUUUUGUCCGGAAAGAAAUGGCUCUGGUUAAUACCUGGGGUCGAUGACGGUACCGGAAGAAUAAGGACCGGCUAACUACGUGCCAGCCGCCGCCGUAA